CGUCGAGAAGAACACUUGUUUCACGCAAAAUAGCUAUAGAGUAUAGGUAGUGCAAAUAUUGCGACAUUUUUGGAUAUUUUUAUUUUAGUAUUUUUUUUGUUCUGUAUUUGGAUUUUCUCGCCUCCGAUACGAUCGUUUUGUGGUUACAGAGCUCUUUGUCUUAUUGUACUACAUGUACUGCAACGAGUAGCACGUAAUGAAGAAUGGACGACCUUCAAAAUGUACGAAAUAAUGUAUUUGAUGAAACAGUUGAGAGAAAAAAAUGAAAGAAUACCGUCAUCUCAUAACCUUACUUUCAAUACUUGUGCUGAAACUACCACGGUUCAAUUUCGACAUUGUGGAUCAUGAUCUUAAAACUAUUGAGGCUAUCAAGCAAUAUAGAGUUUUCGUACAAAAAUGGAAGGGAAAAAAUUAUGAAGAAAUGGACGCCAAACUUGCAGUAAUGCAAGGUCUACGUGAAUAUCGAAGAACUAAUAAUACGGAUGUUCUAGAUGAUAUCCAGAAGAAUCUCGAAAUUUUGGAUGAUAUUCGUUUCAAGCACAUGGGAAACCUCACACAAGAACUGAAAUACAAAUUUAGAGAAAUGGAUACCAGGCUCAAAAAUCUUCAUUAUCAAAUCGAACGCCAAGAUGACGACGUUCUUCAAAAAUACGCAUCCAUCGUUGAAGAUUAUAUAGAGAAUCGCAAUUUUACCUCCUUCAGUACUCGUUUAACACGCUUUGAAGAAGAAUUGCAGGGGAACCCGAGUGUUAAACAUUUGCUGAAACUUCAAGUUCUGAGCCAAGACGACUCCGGUGCGAAUAGUGAUCGUUCCAACCGUUCGAAAAAUUUCAACCUCACGCAAGAAAAUAUGGAAGCUAAGCUUGAAAAUGUAAACCGUCAGAUUGAAAAUAUAUAUCGGAUAAUGAUGGACAGAAAUGACGACAUUUUUAGUUCAGAUAAAUCCGAAGUCAGAGAAUGGAUCAUGGGACUUGAUCGACACUGAUUUUUUCAUCCGAAAUGGAAAAUUUUUAUCAAUUUAUUAACUGAUCAUCUUUGAAGGUGGCACUAUUUACAGUCCAUAAAUACCACUACCAGUUUUACACUAACCUACGAGUAUGAACAAAUUCUGCUACGUCAGUUUUUCAAGAUUCAAGCUAUUUGGGAUGUUUCAAGUCAUUUGCCUGGUUUUGGGAUUGCAAAGAUCAUAACAUGUAACAGCAGACCGAAUGAUUUUGAUCGCAUCAGUCAAAACGAAUCUUUCAUUUAUUUUUAGCACUUUUGCAAAAUAACCACUAUACUAAGGAAAAUAGAUUUUAUCAAUUGAGGCUAAAAUUGACCAUGAUUGAUCACAAUAUAGAAUCGAAAAUCGCAAAGAUAUCAAUUUUUGGAGUUCGAUUAAUCGAUUUUUAAUGCUAAUAAAUUUUUGAAAAUGAAAAAAAAACUUGAUUUCUCAUUUCAAACAGGAUCGACCACAUGAAAUCGAAAAACAAUCGAUUUUCAAUAAUGAUCCAGAUCAAUUUUUGAUCGACAAGUUUGUUUUCGAGGCUAAAACGAAUUUUCUAUCUCGACUGUGACUGAUCAAAAUAUAUGUAGAAUCGGGUAUCGCAAAUAAAUCGAUUUUCGGGUUCAAUUAAUCGGUUCUCAAUCCUGAUCAUGGUCAAUUUUCGUGAAUUGAUUUCUCAUUUGUAAUUUCAAACAUGACCGAUCACAUGAAAUCGAAAAUCGAAAUCGAAAAUUAAUCGAUUUUCAAACAUGAUCACUUUUUGAUCGAUAAGUUUGUUUUUGAGGGUAAAAUUGAUUUUCGGUGUCGUCCAUGAUCUAUCACAAUACAGAAUCGAUAAUCGCAAAGAAAUCGAUUUUUGGACUUCGAUUAUUCGAUUUUUAAUGCUGGUAAAUUUUCGAGGAUAAGACUUGAUUUUUCAUUUCAAUAAACAGAAUCGACCACAUGAAAUCGAAAAUAAAUCGAUUUUCAAUAAUGAUCGUCAUUUCAAACAUGAUUGAUCACGUGAAAUCAAAAAUCAUAAUGGAAAUCGUAAAUUGAUCGAUUUUCAAACAUGAUCGAUUUUUGAUCGAAAAGUCAGUUUUUGAGGCUCGAAUUGAUUUCCUAUUUCGACCAUGAUUGAUCACAACAUAGAAUUGGAAAUCGCAAAUAAAUUGAUUUUUGGGAGUUCGAUUAAUCGAUUUUUUUUAUCGAUCACAUAAGAUCGAAAAUCGAAAUAAAAAAUAAUCGAUUUUUAAUAAAAAGAUAUAUUUUUGAGGCUGAAAUUGAUUUCCUAUUUCGACCACACAAUUGAUCACAAAUCGAAAAUCGCAAAUAAAUCGAUUUUUGGGAUUCGAUUCAUCGAUUUUCAAUCCUGAUCUUUCGAAGGUAAGCUUGAUUUCUAAUUUAAAAGAUGACCAUUGACCAAUCACAAGAAAUCGAUUUUCGGGAGUUUGAUUAAUCGAUUUUCAAUCCUGAUCUUUCGAAGGUAAACUUGAUUACUCAUUUCAAAGAUGAUCAAUCACAAGAAAUCGAAAAUAAAUCGAUUUUCAAUCUUGGUCAAUUUUUGAUCGAAAAGUCUUUUUUUGAAGCUGAAAUUGAUUUCCUAUUUCGACCAUAUUUAAUUGAUCGCAAUGUAGAAUCGAAAGUAGAAAAUAAAUUGAUUUUGGGGAUUUCGAUUAAUCGAUUUUCAAUCCUGAUGUUUCGAAGGUAAACUUGAUUUCUAAUUUCAAAGAUGAUCAAUCACAAGAGAUUGAAAAUCGAAAAUGGAAAUCGAAAAUGAAUCGAUUUGCAAUCAUUGUCAAUUUUUGAUCGAAAAGUCUACUUUUGAAGCUGAAAUUGAUUUCCUAUUUCGACCAUACAUAAUUGAUCGCAAUGUAGAAUCGAAAAUCGCAAAUAAAUCGAUUUUUUGGGAUUUCGAUUAAUCGAUUUUCAAUCCUGAUCUUUCGAAGGUAAACUUGAUUUCUAAUUUCAAAGAUGAUCAAUCACAAGAAAUCGAAAAUCGAAAUCGAAAAUCAAUCUAUUUUUAGGAGUUCGAUUAAUCGAUUUUCAAUCCUGAUCUUUCGAAGUCAAUCACAAGAAAUCGAAAAUCAAUCGAUUUUCAAUCAUGGUCAAUUUUUGAUCGAAAAGUCUAUUUUUGAAACCGAAAUUGAUUUCCUAUUUCGACCAUAAUUGAUCGCAAUAUAGAAUCGAAAAUCGCAAAUAAAUCGAUUUUUGGGAUCUCGAUUAAUCGAUUUUCAAUCCUGAUCUUUCGAAGGUAAACUUGAUUACUCAUUUCAAAGAUGAUCAAUCACAAGAAAUCGAAAAUCAAAAUCGAAAAUAAAUCGAUUUUCAAUCAUGGUCAAUUUUUGUUCGAAAAGUCUAUUUUAUGAAGCAGAAAUUGAUUUUUUCCUAUUUCGACAAUAAUUGAUCGCAAUAUAGAAUCGAAAAUCGCGAAUAAAUCGAUUUUUGGGGUUCGAUUAAUCGGUUCUUAAUUCUGAUUAAUUUCUGAGAAUUGAUUUCUUAAGUAUUUCGAUCAUGAUUGAUCACAACAUAGAAUCGAAAAUCGCAAAUAAAUUGAUUUUUGGGAGUUCGAUUAUUCGAUUUUUUGAUCGAUCACACAAAAUUGAAAUUCGAAAUCGAAAAUUAAUCGAUUUUCAAACAUGAUUCAUUUUUGAUUAAAAAGUCUAUUUUUGACUGAUUUUCUAGUUCCACCACAAUUGACCAGGAAAUAGAAUCGAAAAUCGCUAAUAAAUCGAUGUAUUGGGGUUCGAUUAUUAAGUUCUUAAUUCUGAUCAAUUUCUGAGGAUUGAUUUCUCAUUUUGUCGUUUCAAACAUGAUUGAUCACGUGAAAUCGAAAACCAAAAGCGAAAAUAGAAAUCGAAAAUUAUCGAUUUUCAAACAUGAUUACUAAUUUGUCAUUUCAAACAUGUUCGAUCACGUAAAAUUGAAAAUCAAAAUCGAAAAUUGAAAUCGAAAACUGAUCGAUUUUCAAACGUGAUCAACUUUUGAUCGAAAAGUCAGCUUUUGAGGCUCAAAUUCAUCGGAAAUCGCAAGGAAAUUGAUUUUUUGGGAGUUCGAUUAAUCGAUUUUUUGAUCGAUCACACAAAAUCAAAAAUCGAAAUCGAAAAUUAAUCGAUUUUCAAACAUGGUCAAUUUUUUAGGCUAAAAUUGAUCUCCAAUAUUUGAACCUCACUAUGAGGCAACCUGGGAAGUUGAUUUUUGAAAUUUUCAUUAAUUCCUUAUCUAAACUAACAGAACACUUUGCCAUAAUAAUUUCGUAUACUAUCUGUAUAGACCUUGUAUACUUUGAUGGAAAGUCGAUUUUAUUAAUCUUAGUAGGUACGUUAACAGAAUAUUCGAUUUUUGAUCGUAGGGCAAGCUUAAAAAAAGCAUUUACCACUGUAAGACUCCGCAAUGCAGAUAAACAGGUAUCCAAUUAAUUAUAAUAUUGUGCUUAUUUAAUACACUCUCAGAAACAGUCGAGGAAAAAAAAAUGAAAGAAUAUCGUCAUCUCAUAACCAUCCUAUUAAUACUUGUACUAAUAUUACCACGGUUUAAUUUCGACGUUGUGGAUCAUGAUCAUACUAGUGAGGUUAUGGAUAUUGUAAUAGAUAUAAUAGUAAAAAAUGAAAAAAUGGAGGGAAAAUACGAAGACAUGGAUGUAAAACUUGCAAUAAUGGAAGGUCUGAAUGAAUAUCGAAGAACUAAUAAUACGGAUGUUCUAGGGUACAUCCCGAAGAAGCUCAAAGCUUUGGAUGAUAUUCGUUUCAAGCACUUGGGAAACCUGACACAAGAAAUGAAAUACAAAUUUAAGGAAAUGGAUACCAUGCUCAGAAAUCUUCAUCUGGAUCUCGAAUCCUAUGUACCUAAAUACGACGUUCUUCAAAAAUACGCAUCCAUCGUUGGAGAUUAUAUAAAAAAUCGUAAUUUCACCUCCUUCAGUGCUCGUUUAACAUUCUUUGAAGAAGAAUUAUACGCGAAUCCAAGUGUUACACACUUACUGAGGCUUCAAGUUUUCAACCUCACACAAGAAAAUAAUAUAGAAACUAAGCUUGAAAAUGUAAACCGUCAGAUUGAAAAUAUAUAUCGAAUAAUGAUCGAUAAAAAUGACGACAUUUGGGGUUCAUAUAAAUCCGAAGUCAGAGAAUUGAUCAUGGAACGUCAUCGACGAAAUUAUGGUAUCUUUAAAGGUGGCACUAUUUACAGUCCAUAAAUACCACUACCAGGUUUACACUAUAAACAAAUUCUACAACGUCAAUUUUUCAAGAUUCAAGAUAUUUGGGAUGUUUCAAGUCAUUCGCCUGGUUCUGGUAUUGAAAAGAUCAUAACAUGUACCUAACAGCAGACCGAAUGAUCCAUCAGUCAAAACCAAUCUUUCAGGGGUUAAAUGAGAAAGAUUUCUUUAUAUAGCACUUCUGAAAAAUACUAAGGAUCGUUGCUGCUCCCUGAAUUGUGGUAUUUAGAAGAAAAAAAUUUGUCUGGCUUAGAAAUUGAGAUUUUUUUCCUCAAAAUUAUCCUUGUAUGUAAAUUAUACCAAAACAAUAGUGUAAAAGCAUGAAGAUAAAAAAAAAGGUCAAGUUGAUAAAAAUAUUUGCAAUAUUUGAGUUCAACUUUCAGACAAUCAGAAGAUUUUUAUUUUUUUUCACCUCACCGAAAUUUAAAUACAUACCCAGGUUUAAUGUAAUUUUAUGGGACUUUUGCGAAAUGCUACAUCUCAAAUUCGAUCGCCGAAUCGAUUAAUGAUGGUUUCAAGACGUUCUAGGGCUUCUGAGUCCCGAAAAUCACACAAAAAAAUCCAAAAAUCGAAAAAUCUACAGGAAGGAUAUUUUACCACGACUCGAAAUUGCUGCCAAUUUAUUCAAAAAAUCGAAGCAGAGGGUCAAGUGAAACAUACAGUCAAAACGUUUGCAAAACAUUUAGAGUUGUUGACGAUUUCUGAAUAUAUUCCAGGAAAAAAAAUGAAGCACCGUUUACCUCUCAAAAAAAUUACAAAUAAGUUACUUACAAUAAUGCUCAUUAUAUUAUUUCAAGCUUGUAAGUGUUGAUUCAAUUGAGAAAACUUACCUGAAACCAAAAAAAGAAAAAAAACGAUUAGAAACAUCAUAAAAGGUAGGUAUACUUUGAAUACUUAAACACAAAACUGAAAUCUGAAAACAACUAACAAGUAAGAUAAAAUGGCAAAUAAACAUGU
This is an RNA transcript of Planococcus citri (citrus mealybug), 6134 nucleotides long. RefSeq lists it as uncharacterized. The transcript has 9 exons. The record is from RefSeq and is a predicted model, not a curated record. Lineage: Eukaryota; Metazoa; Arthropoda; Insecta; Hemiptera; Pseudococcidae.